CCUACGGGUGGCAGCAGUGGGGAAUAUUGCACAAUGGGGGGAACUCUGAUGCAGCAACGCCGCGUGGGUGAAGAAGUACUUCGGUUUGUAAAGCUCUGUCAGCAGGGAAGAAAAUGACGGUACCUGACCAAGAAGCCCCGGCUAACUACGUGCCAGCAGCCGCGGUAAUACGUAGGGGGCAAGCGUUAUCCGGAUUUACUGGGUGUAAAGGGAGCGUAGACGGGAAGGCAAGUCUGAUGUGAAAGCUCGUGGCCGAACCACGGGCCUGCUUUGGAAACUGUGUUGCUGGAGAGCAGGAGGGGUAAGCGGAAUUCCUAGUGUAGCGGUGAAAUGCGUAGAUAUUAGGAGGAACACCGGUGGCGAAGGCGGCUUACUGGACUGUAACUGACGUUGAGGCUCGAAGGCGUGGGGAGCAAACAGGAUUAGAUACCCGUGUAGUC
RNAcentral lists this ribosomal RNA (440 nucleotides) under uncultured bacterium. Its description in RNAcentral is "partial 16S ribosomal RNA". It matches the Rfam family "Bacterial small subunit ribosomal RNA", at positions 338 to 795 of the family's 1533-position model. The record is from RNAcentral.